AAAUUUUCUUAAGGAACUCGGCAAAAUCCCAAUGGCCCACCAGGGCAUAUUGGAACACGGGCCUCGACUGUUUACCAAAAACAUAGCCCUCGGCUAAUAUGAAAAUAGAUGUAUAGAGGGUGAUGCCUGCCCAAUGGUUGUAUCUAAAAGCGGUUGAUAAAAGUCGACCUUGUAAGGACAAUUGAAUGGCCGCGGUAACACUGACCGUGAUAAUGUAGCGUAAUCAAUAGCCAAUUAAUUGUUGGCCAGUAUGAAUGGCGCCACGAAGGCCCCACUGUCUUAAGGAAAUUCCCAGUGAAAUUGAAUUCGUAGUGAAGAUGCUACGUCCAAUUUGUUAGACGAAAAGACCCCGUUGAGCUUUACUGGAGCACUUAUAUGGCCCCGGCCUUCCCAUGCCUGGGAACCGGCCGAAUUUAAAUGGGCGGCUUAGAUUAUGUGGCAGCCCCCCGCUGGGGCAAAUGAAACACCACUCCCCCAUGUCAAAGGGGCUAACCCCCCCCUUGGGGGGGACAGUGUAAGUAGGACAGUUUGGUUGGGGCGACCGCCUUUUAAAAAGUAACGAAGGUGCGCUUAAGGUGUGCAAUUAAUGACUGAAGCCUGACUGCGAGGGGGGUACCCCGAGCAGACACCCCUAAGCCCGCCCGAAGGGCGGCGGUGGGGUGGGCCAUAGUGACCCGUUAAUUUAGAGUGGAAUAGUUAACGAUCAACGAAUAAAAGUUACCACGGGGAUAACAGCGUAAUAUCGUUAGAGAGUUC
Molecule: ribosomal RNA, 756 nt
Filed under: Zoanthus kuroshio
Lineage: Eukaryota; Metazoa; Cnidaria; Anthozoa; Zoantharia; Zoanthidae
Description: partial 16S ribosomal RNA
Rfam family: Bacterial large subunit ribosomal RNA
Source: RNAcentral